This is a long non-coding RNA of Canis lupus familiaris (dog), 485 nucleotides long. RefSeq lists it as uncharacterized. The transcript is spliced from 3 exons. Lineage: Eukaryota; Metazoa; Chordata; Mammalia; Carnivora; Canidae. The record is from RefSeq and is a predicted model, not a curated record.
ACGUGGCGCGCGCCCUCCGACGGCCCCGCCCCCCGUCUCUCAGGAUCCGAGCGCUCCGCGGGGCCUCCCAUCCGCUCAGCUGCUCCGAUGGCCCUUCGCCCGGAGCUCGGACUCCUGGGUCGGGCCGCCUGAGGUCACCUCUCGCCGCCUCCUAAGGCCCAUUCCCCUUGGAACCACGUGGCUGAGGCUCUGCCCCGUGGCGGGGGGGAAGCAGGCGGGAGGCAGGCUGAGGUCUGGAGUUCGUUCAGUCUGUUCUUACUGAGCAACUACUUGGUGCCAACACUGUUCUGAGCGCUGAGGGAGGCGUGAUGGAAACGUGCAGAAAACCAAUAAGUAGUACUACAGUACAUUAAACCCAGCUGGUGAGUUUCCAGAACCUGGGAUUUAACCACCACCAAAGUCAUACUGCCCCUGCAUCUCUGGAGAUUUUAUUUAUUGGGACGCCUGGAUGGCUCAGCGGUUGAGCAUCUGCCUUCAGCUCAGCG